CCGGGAUAAUUGUAACUCAUUUAGGAGACCAGUAAGGAUUUCCAUGAGGACCCUCCUUGUCCAUGGUAGCCCACAGUUUUGCUGAAAGGCAGUUAUCAAUUGUGAAAUGAAGGAACAUCCCCACAGAUGGUUACAGAAGUGUUCUGCUCUCCUUUAGCGUGCUAAUAUUUCUUUGGUGUGAUGUUUUGUUCUGCACUACCUGUAACACCAUGCUUUGUUUGCCAUGAUUCAAACCAUUUGUUUCACUCAAUUCUCAGUACUGUGUUAUUUUCAGGAUCUGUUGCUGAACACUGGGAGACAUCCUAUAGGACAAAUUUAAAAAAGAUAAACAGUCACUCUAAUUCAAGAGGGAGGAAGAAGUCCGUAGACAGCAUUUUAAAUGUGCUUGGCACAUUUUCAUCCCAAGGGGUGCAAGUAGCGGAAAAAUCUCUCGAUCAGAUUCUGCCACUUCUGUUCUCAAAAGGCAGAUGGUGCACAGGACCUGUGGGAGACCCACUGCCUUACAGUGCUCCAGGUGACCUCCGGAAUGGCAGCUAUGGCCAGGCAGGACACAAUAGGGUAUCUCAAAUGACAGUUGAUACUUAUUUUUAGGCAACUGAAUGACACCUAUAUUGAUACCAGUAAUGUGUUCAGCAGGGCGCUCUGCAAAUCAAGGAAAGGUGACAUGACGAAGGUUUCCAGGGACAUAACGCUUCUGACACCAACCUUUGCAUAGAGUCAUUGCCUUCAAGUGGUGAUGGAGCAGGUAGUGUUUGUCCAUUGUUUCUUUAUUGUGGUGGCAUCUUCCCCUUGGUUCAGUGAUAUCUGGGGAAACUGAAUGAAUGAUGAAGCCUGUGCCUUUCUACCACGCUAAUACCCUGAGAGUAUUACAAUUAUAAUUAUAAUGCCUGAACUAUGUUGGUUUCAGUAAUCUAUUAAUUACACCGUUAGCAAUUGGGAAUGAAGCCUGAGGUUUUCAUUUUCUUAGCGGUUCCCAAAUCCCCUUCUUGUACUACCUAUUCCCAAGCAAUAGCUUUAGGCUCCUGAACUGAUGGCUUAGGUGGAAAUCCAGAG
RNAcentral lists this long non-coding RNA (1053 nucleotides) under Struthio camelus australis. RNAcentral's name for it is "lncRNA (ENSSCUG00000008161.1)". The record is from RNAcentral. Lineage: Eukaryota; Metazoa; Chordata; Aves; Struthioniformes; Struthionidae.